RNAcentral lists this transfer RNA (66 nucleotides) under Rhamdia quelen (silver catfish). RNAcentral's name for it is "tRNA-Cys". Lineage: Eukaryota; Metazoa; Chordata; Actinopteri; Siluriformes; Pimelodidae. The record is from RNAcentral. RNAcentral also lists the same sequence under 1 other name.
AGCCCCGGCCGACAAUUAGUCGGCAUCCUUGGAUUUGCAAUCCAAAAUGUUAUACACCACAAGGCU